This 3307-nucleotide long non-coding RNA is filed under the name Sus scrofa (pig). Its description in RNAcentral is "lncRNA (ENSSSCG00000059267.1)". The record is from RNAcentral. Lineage: Eukaryota; Metazoa; Chordata; Mammalia; Artiodactyla; Suidae.
UUUUUUUUUUUUUUUUUUUUUUUUUGCUUUUUAGGGCCACACCCAUGGCAUAUGGAGAUUGGCAGGCUAGGGGUCUAAUUAGAGCUGUAGCCGCCGGGAUACACCUCUGCUCAUGGCAAUGCCAGAUCCUUAACCCACUGAGCAAGGCCAGGGAUCAAACCUGCAACCUCAUGGUUCCUAGUUGGAUUCAUUUCCACUGCGCCACAAUGGGAACUCCCAAGUGUGGCUUAUUUCUUAAAACAUGUUUUUAAAAUACAAAUCCAUGUGACUGUUCACAUUCUUAUUUUGAUCUGGUGCAUUUGGCAUUUAGUGUCACCCUUCUAGGGAUAGUUCUGAAGUCUGUGGAUGGAUUUGGAGGCCUGACAAUUUCCUGCCAGUGAUUCUGGUUCCUUAGGGAAUGUCAGCACUCAUUCUUUACACACUCACUCUGCAUUCAAGCAACUGGUGGGCUUUUAUUCUCCUAAAUCAAGCCGAUUACUCCACCUUCUCUGACUUGAAAAGCAUUGCACCUCUCAUAUUUCAUUUAAGUUUAUUAAUCUUUCUACAUUUAAAUUCUGGAAGAGAAAGGUAGGGAGAGAAGUUAACCAUCACAUAUAAAGAAAAAUAGGAUGAUCCACUGAUUUGAAAUCACAGGGUAGAUUUAAUGGUGAAAUUGUGAUAUCUUAAAAAACUCUAGAGACAUGAUUAAGAUGGUUGAAAAGAAGGACUGGAGCUCAACUUUGCUCCUAAAAACAACAAAAUUAGGACCAAAUGCUGAACAGCCUUCAACCAACUGGACUGGAAAUUUUCAAAAAGAUAUCCUGCUUCAGAAGACAAAGAGGAGGCCACAUCAAGUGGUUGAAGGGGUGAUUAUGUGAUAUAAGCACCCCUAAACCUCCCGGGUGGGAAGUCCACAGUUUGGAAAGUAUCUGUAUCACAGAGACUCACCUACAGGAGUGAGAGUUCUGAGCCCCACAUCAAGUGCCCAUGCCUGGGGAUCUGGCAUUGGGAGAAAGAGCCCCUGAAACAUCUGGCAUUGAAGACCACUAGGGCUUAUGCACAAGAGCUCCACAUGACUGGGGCAAACAGAGACCACAUUCUUGAAAGGCACACACAGGCUUUCAUGUGCCCUGGGUCCCAGGGCAAAUCAGAGGCUCAAAGGAAUCUGGGCCAGACCUGACUGCAGCCUUGGAAAAUUCCCUGGGAAAACAGGGGUGAAUGUGGCUUGUUGUGGGGGAAGGACAUUGGAAACAAAGCUCCUGGGAAUAUUGAUCAGCAUGCCUUUCUCUGGAGGUGGCCAUUUUGGGAAAAUCUGGCCCCACCCAUCGGGCACUGAGGUGCCCCAGGCCAAACAACAGUCCAGGCUGGAUCACAGCCCUGCCCAUCAAUAAAUAGGCUGCCUAAAGACCCCCAGGCAUACAGUUGCCUCUAAUCUCAUCCAGAGACAAAGCCCCACCCACCAGAGGGAUAGGAAUCACCUCCACCUACCAGUGGGCAGGCACCAGUCCCUCCCAUCAGGAAGCCUGCAGCAAGCCCCCAUACCAAUUUCAGCCACAAGGGGGCAUACACCAGAAGUAAGAGAGGCUACAAUUUUAUUUUCUGUUAAAACGUCACCACACCCAAAGCCUGUAAAAAUGAAAAGACAGAGAACUAUAACUGAGAUAAGAGAGAAAGAAAAAUCCUAGAAAAACAGCUAAGUGAUCUGGAGAUUCUCAGCCUCCAAGAAAAAGACUUUAGACUGAUGAUGCUGAAGAUGAUGCAAGACAUUCAAAAUAAACCAGAGGGAAAGAUAGAUAAUUUAGAGCAAACAUUGAGCAAUGAAAUACAAGAUUUAAAACUUAAGCAAGAAGAGAUGCAAAAUACAAUAACUGAAAUGAAAAAUUCACUAGAAGCAACCAACAGCAGAAUACAGGAGGCAGAAGAAUGAAUAAGCAAGGUGGAGGACAGACCAGUGGAAAUCACUGAUGUGGAAUAGAAAGGAGAAAAACAAUUGAAAAGAAAUGAGAGUCUCAGAGAACUCUGGGACAACAUUAAAUGCAUCAACAUCCAUAUGAUGGGGUGCCAGAAGAAGAGUGAGAGAAAGGAACAGAAAAAAUAUUUGAAGAGAUAAUAAAUGAAAACUUUCCUAACAUGGGAAGGGAACCACUCAGUCAAAUCUAAGAGGUGCAACGAAUACCGUAUAAAAUAAACCCAAGGAGGAAUACACCGAGACACAUAUUAAUCAAACUGACCAAAAUUAAAGACAAAGAGAAAAUCUUGAAAGCAGCUAGGGAAAAGAAACAAGUAACAUACAAGGGAACUCAGAUAAGGUUAUUGGCAGAUUUUUCAGCAGAAACUCUGCAGGCCAGAAGAGAGUGGCAUGAUAUACUUAAGGUGAUGAAAGGGAAAAACCUACAACCAAGAUUACUUUACCCAACAAGGCUCUCAUUUGGAUUUGAAGGAGAAAUCAAAAGCUUCACAGAUAAGCAAAAGCUAAGAGAAUUCAGCACCACUAAACCAGCUUUACAACAAAUACUAAAGGAACUUCUCUAGGCAGAAAAGAAAAGGCUGUGACCAGAAACAAAAAUGCCACAAAUGACAAGGCUUUCCAGUAAAGGCAUAUAUACAGUAAAGAUAGGAAAUUAUCCAUUGACAAUUAUACUACCAAUAUCAGAAAUUGUCAGAAGAGGAGCCUACAAAUGCAGGACACUGGGGAUGCACUUGCAAUUAAGAGACCAACAACUUAAAACAAUUGCCUAUUUAUAUUGAGUCCUAUACCAAAACUUCAGGGCAGCUGCAAACCAAAAAUCUGCAAUUGAUACACAAACAAAUAAGAAAAAUCAAUUCAAAUACAAUGCUAAAGAUAGUCAUCAAACCAGAAGAGGAGAGAACAAGAGAAGAAGGGAAGAAAAAAGAGCAACAAAAACAAAUCCAAAGCAAUUCAUAAAAUGGCAAUAAGAACAUACAUACCAAUAAUUACCUUAAAUGUAAAUGGACUAAAUGCCCCAAGCAUAAGACAUGGACUGGCUGGACACAAAAACAAGACCCAUAUGUAUGCUGUCUUCAAGAGACCCAUUUCACUUCUAGGGACACAUACAAAUUGAAAGUGAGAGGAUGGAGUUCCCGUCGUGGCGCAGUGGUUAACGAAUCUGACUAGGAACCAUGAGGUUGAGGGUUUGGUCCCUGCCCUUGCUCAGUGGGUUAAUGAUCCGGCAUUGCCGUGAGCUGUGGUGUAGGUUGCAGACGUGGCUUGGAUCCCGCAUUGCUGUGGCUCUGGCGUAGGCCAGUGGCUGCAGCUCCGAUUCGACCCCUAUCCUGGGAACCUCCAUAUGCUGCAAGAGCGGCCCAA